RNAcentral lists this ribosomal RNA (498 nucleotides) under uncultured bacterium. RNAcentral's name for it is "bacterial SSU rRNA". It matches the Rfam family "Bacterial small subunit ribosomal RNA", at positions 501 to 1000 of the family's 1533-position model. The record is from RNAcentral.
CUACGUGCCAGCAGCCGCGGUAAUACGGGGGGUGCGAGCGUUAAUCGGAAUAACUGGGCGUAAAGGGCACGCAGGCGGUGACUUAAGUGAGAUGUGAAAGCCCCGGGCUUAACUUGGGAAUUGCAUUUCAUACUGGGUCGCUAGAGUACUUUAGGGAGGGGUAGAAUUCCACGUGUAGCGGUGAAAUGCGUAGAGAUGUGGAGGAAUACCGAAGGCGAAGGCAGCCCCUUGGGAAUGUACUGACGCUCAUGUGCGAAAGCGUGGGGAGCAAACAGGAUUAGAUACCCUGGUAGUCCACGCUGUAAACGAUGUCGAUUUGGGGGUUGAGCUUUAAGCUUGGCGCCCGUAGCUAACGUGAUAAAUCGACCGCCUGGGGAGUACGGCCGCAAGGUUAAAACUCAAAUGAAUUGACGGGGGCCCGCACAAGCGGUGGAGCAUGUGGUUUAAUUCGAUGCAACGCGAAGAACCUUACCUACUCUUGACAUCCAGAGAACAUUC